Long non-coding RNA from Oncorhynchus mykiss (rainbow trout), 2601 nucleotides. Lineage: Eukaryota; Metazoa; Chordata; Actinopteri; Salmoniformes; Salmonidae. The record is from Ensembl.
AUGCUCCCAAAGGUUGACAGGGAAAGGGUGGCCAACUUCAUGUGCCACAACAUCCAGACGGCAGACAAAUAUUAUGCCAUGAAUUUAAAUCCAACCCAAGCAAAUGAAACCAGGGCACUCUUUGAGGCUGCACUGAAGGGGGAAGAUAACACAGUCGCCGCAGAGAACCAGCCCUCCACCUCAGGAGAAAGAAAGCAGAAGGUGAGAGAGGAUGCCUCCCUCUCCGACGGGAGCACCACCCCUGAAGAGACCAAGGUGAUGUACCAGGAGUCUGGCACGUCCGCCGGUGACUCGGAAGAGGAGGAAGAGGAUGAAGAUGAGGAACAGAUGGCCAGACAACUUCCAGAGACACCUUCCAAGGUGACCAAUCCUCAGGUGGAGAUGGAACUUACCCCAAAGAGGAAGCGGAGCAUCUGCACACGCCGCAUGGAGGUCGCCAUCAGCCCCAUGCUAGUCUCACCCCUCAAAGUGAGGCUCAAGUCGCCCCCCCACCAGUCCCUCAUUGUCACAUUAAAAGGGAUGCAACAACUAAACUCAAAUAAAGUCAGACUAAAAAAUGCCAUUGCCUCAAGGAGGUUAAAGCUGCAGGAGAAGGUGCAAAAGAGAGGAGGGGACCCCUGAUGCAGCUCGAAGGAAGGGGAGCCGACCAACAACAAGACUUCCUCUUCCAAAUAGUCAUGUAGAUUGUUUUAGACUCUCACAUUUAUACUGUUCUGAUUUUGUUUGGUUUGAUUUUCAAUUUUGGUGUGCUUGUUUACAUUUUAGAAGUGUAAAAUGUGUGUAAUUUAGUCUAACUGUCUGUUCAAUUUUCUAUUUUGGUGUGAUUCUUUAUAAUGUAAAGGUUUGUUCUGUUUUAUUAAAUAACUAGUUUAGUAAUUAUUUGUGUUGUGCUUUCUUUAAGGUUAUAUUCUAACUGUCUGUUCAAUUUUCUAUUUUGGUGUGAUUCUUUAUAAUGUAAAGGUUUGUUCUGUUUUAUUAAAUAACUAGUUGAGUAAUUAUUUGUGUUGUGCUUUCUUUAAGGUUUAUAUUUAGUUUGUCACUUAAUUUGUAAGUGUUAAACAUUCACUGUCUUGUGUUGUUGUCUGUGAAGGUAGGAACAAAUAUUUAGGCAUUAUUGGCAUGGGAAUCAUAUGUUUACAUUGGCAAAGCAAAUUAAGUAGAUAAUAAACAAAAGUGAAAUAAACAAUAAAGUCCUGCUGUAGACUGUACUACUGCUGUUCAGGAAGCACAAUUUGAACUAGAAACUUACACAGACAGGCUGAAAUAAACACUAAAAAAUAACAAAUGGCAUCACCGUAAUAUCCCGCUUGACCGUGGCUCGCUCGGUCUGAGCGCAGCGACCAUGAGAAAAGUAAGCCCAAAAUGAAGCCUGCCCCACAACGUCAUUUGCUUUUGGGUGACAGUGAGAGAACCGUUAGGUUUAGAAGGACAAUUCAACCACAGGAAUGUUCCUAACGUCCUUCCGAUCCAUGCAAGCCUUACCUUGACCGUGUGGCAUCAACCCUUAAAAAUAAAACAGGGUUUUUUGAUCUCACAGAUUACAAUGACAUCUCUCCCCAUAGGAAUACAUUGACAGCUCCCCUAAAUUCAACCUGGAGCCUAUGUGGGUUAAUAAUGCCUUAUGAACCUGUCUUCAAUGCCAAUCCAUCAGGCCACUAUGAGGUCUACCUGUGUCGAUUCUAAGCUUCCUGGAGCAACCGGAAGUGGUUAAAUUCACCCAAAAUGUAUUUUGAUGUACAUAACCUGCAAAUGUGAAAAUGACUGCAUUCAACCCUGGGUAGAUCAGUCAAUUCUUAACAUAAAGACUUUAGGAUUCUCAGGAUUCUGUAAGAGAAUACCCAAAGCAAGAUAUUUGUUUACCUAUAGCUUCCUGUGCCAACCGGAAGUGCCUUUAAUUGGUGUCUCAGGGGCUUCUCCUUAGGAGGGAUGGGGACACCACCACGGGACAGACCCCACACUCAUCGCUAGAGAUCGAACUUCAGACUCCCUUCAAAACCACUGAACCCCUCAACACACCGAAAGAGAUUACGGUGCACACCCUUAGAGGGAGCCGGAACAGGAUAACUCCCUCCACCAUCACAGAGACACAGAGGAGGAGGAACUAUCCAACACCCAGGGAGAGAGAACAAGUGACGUCAGUCGAACACAGUCAGAAAGAGGAGGUGGAAGAGGCGUUAGAUAGAGGAGGAUAUUACCCCAGAGGCCAUUCCUCCUGUUCAUGUGAGCAAGAAAGAGCAGAAGGCUUCUGAUCAGCCAAAUGGCAGGCAGAGGGAGAGGUCAUAGUGAUUCACACCCACAGAGAGAAAGACAACCCACACAACCUCUUGGUUGAGAUGAACCACACAGGUAGAGGCAGAGGGCCUUCAGGGCUAGCCAGUCAGCCUGCCUGCUCUGAUCCUCAAGUCAAUUGUAUAUAAAUUCAUGUUCAUUAAAGAUUUUUAUUCAAGAAUUGACAAGUCCCAUUUCGUUAAAGGGGUCACCCUUUUCCUGCUACAAACACAACUUGCAUAUCAUCACAGACUAGGCCAAAACGUUAAUCUUUUAACCUUGCCUGAAUAAAACAAUGCAUUUUUUAUAGUGAGCAAGAGUUGCUCCUUUUCC